GUAGCAGUUAAUAGUUUUACAAUACGCGUAAAUGUUCGUUAAGAAUUCUAGAUUCAUGCAGUUUUAUAUUUCAGAUAAAAAAUGGCGAACUAAUCCGAACUCUUUUUCCAGAAUUAUCAUGGAGAUUGAUAACUACGACGAUCCGCUGGAUCGACCUGAAAUGUUGCUAAAUUUCGAGAUGACAGAAUCUGGUGUUGAUGACAGAAGCAUGUUACAGGAGAUACUCGCUGAAAUAUUACUCAUGAAGUCCGGGAUGGAAAAUAGUUUACGUUUAAUGCAAGAAAUUUCCUUUAAACUAGAGAAAUUU
Eurytemora carolleeae is the source of this 307-nucleotide long non-coding RNA. RefSeq lists it as uncharacterized. The transcript has 3 exons. The record is from RefSeq and is a predicted model, not a curated record. NCBI's taxonomy places the organism in Eukaryota, Metazoa, Arthropoda, Copepoda, Calanoida, Temoridae.